This 118-nucleotide ribosomal RNA is filed under the name Labrus bergylta (ballan wrasse). The record is from RNAcentral. Lineage: Eukaryota; Metazoa; Chordata; Actinopteri; Labriformes; Labridae.
GCUUACGGCCAUACCACCCUGAACACGCCCGAUCUCGUCAGAUCUCGGAAGCUAAGCAGGGUCGGGCCUGGUUAGUACUUGGAUGGGAGACCGCCUGGGAAUACAGGUGCUGUAAGCU